This 73-nucleotide transfer RNA is filed under the name Stegodyphus mimosarum. It matches the Rfam family "tRNA". From Rfam's summary of the family: Transfer RNA (tRNA) molecules are approximately 80 nucleotides in length. Lineage: Eukaryota; Metazoa; Arthropoda; Arachnida; Araneae; Eresidae. The record is from Rfam by way of RNAcentral.
ACCUUCGUGGUGUAGUGGUCAGCACACUCCACACGUAUUCGAGAGGUCCGUGGUUCGAGUCCUGGCGAAGGCG